CAGGAGACAGAGCUCCAGCCUCUGCUAACUACAGAUCUGAAGACAGGCAUGAGAGCAGAUAAGAGGCGUUGACAGAGCGCAUGGGCCUGUGGCACGCUGCCCGUCAGAAAAGGCUGUGUUGGAAUGGUGCUCCCAUCAAGUCCCAGCUUUCCUUGUUGUGCGCCUUAGCACAACGUGAAGAGCCUGCAUAUAGCAAAGGAAGCUGCAAGCUCUCUUUCCAGUUUGAGCAAGGCAACAGAGAAAGGUACUUAGCUUCUCCUGAUUUAUUGGUGAAAUACCAGCUUAUGAAGAUCCCCAGACUUGCUCUGGGAACUUCUUUGGUAACCAAAGAUAUUCAGGUGGCUUCUUUUAUAUUCCAGAACUCUCCAGGUAGGUGUGAAGUGUAAAACAGACUGAUGCUGAAGAGAGAUUCACUCCAGCUUCCCUUUCAUCUGAAGCUGGUAAGGAACUUCCUUUGAAAAGGUUUUUACUAGAAGGAAUGAGUCUCUCUCAAGGAUCAGUGCCACCAUGGGGAAAGGAAAUGGUUCACAAGUGCAGUGCCUCUCACAUCUCCUUUGCUUCAUUCCCAACUAGAAAUUCUACUGUGCUUCAGUACCUGAAGUAUUUUUUCUUAGGGAGCUUCAGGAGCUUUGAACUGAAGUAGAUAGUGGUUAGAUGGUGGAUUUCAUACCCCAAAUCCAUUGGACCUGUGUGUAAAAAAAUGCCUGUUUUGCUACCACAUCUGAGAAUGGCAGCAGAUGUAAAUUUUGGGUCAAAAGCUUUUUACAGAGAAAUUAAGUAGGAAUGCUUUCUCUCAAUUCAGCCCUCCGAGAAAGCUCUGACAUCCCAUCAAAACACACUGCGCUUUUGAAGACAAGACUUCUGAUUGUUUCAUAGGUCUGUCUUACCUGAGGUUUCUUUUGCCUUUUGUGGAAAAAUCCCUGCCCUAUCAGUAGGACUUUACUGAAUUUAAAAACAAGGGAAAUGUUUUUGUUUCUUUGAACCUUUUGGCAGAAGAUAUUUCUCACUUUCCUUCUAGCUUUGUCCAGAAUCUCAUCUGCACUUCUCAGGUGUUAUCCAUAUCUAAUCUGAACAGGCACAAAGAGAUACUUGCAGCUGUCACACCAGCAGAUGUGGAACAAACUCAGAGCAAGUCACUGGUGGGGGAAGGGAGGGUAAGACUUAAUUUUAAGCUGGCUGGGAGAGGCACUGUCAUUAUGUUCUGUGUGCAUUAAAUGCAAACAUGGAACAGGUUCAAGACUGUGGCCGAUGCUCUUAGGUGUGACAGCAGUACAAAUGAAAUAAUAAUAUCAAGUAAUCUCGGUUAGUUAUUAACCCUGCAAUAAAUGCCUGUUCUAGUUGCCA
This 1344-nucleotide long non-coding RNA is filed under the name Phasianus colchicus (ring-necked pheasant). RNAcentral's name for it is "lncRNA (ENSPCLG00000001910.1)". The record is from RNAcentral. Lineage: Eukaryota; Metazoa; Chordata; Aves; Galliformes; Phasianidae.